This is a non-coding RNA of Triticum aestivum (bread wheat), 135 nucleotides long. Lineage: Eukaryota; Viridiplantae; Streptophyta; Magnoliopsida; Poales; Poaceae. The record is from Rfam.
CAUGUAUUCCCUCCGUCCGGAAAUACUUGUCAUCAAAAUGAAUAAAAGGGGAUGUAUUUAGAUGUAUUUUAGAUUUAGAUACAUCCUUUUUUGUCCAUUUUGAUGACAAGUAUUUUCAAACGGAGGGAGUACGUG